RNAcentral lists this ribosomal RNA (460 nucleotides) under uncultured bacterium. RNAcentral's name for it is "partial 16S ribosomal RNA". It matches the Rfam family "Bacterial small subunit ribosomal RNA", at positions 338 to 795 of the family's 1533-position model. The record is from RNAcentral.
CCUACGGGUGGCAGCAGUGAGGAAUAUUGGUCAAUGGACGAGAGUCUGAACCAGCCAAGUAGCGUGAAGGAUGACUGCCCUAUGGGUUGUAAACUUCUUUUAUAUGGGAAUAAAACGUUCCACGUGUGGGAUUUUGUAUGUACCAUAUGAAUAAGGAUCGGCUAACUCCGUGCCAGCAGCCGCGGUAAUACGGAGGAUCCGAGCGUUAUACGGAUUUAUUGGGUUUAAAGGGAGCGUAGGUGGAUUGUUAAGUCAGUUGUGAAAGUUUGCGGCUCAACCGUAAAAUUGCAGUUGAAACUGGCAGUCUUGAGUACAGUAGAGGUGGGCGGAAUUCGUGGUGUAGCGGUGAAAUGCUUAGAUAUCACGAAGAACUCCGAUUGCGAAGGCAGUUCACUGGACUGCAACUGACACUGAGGCUCGAAAGUGUGGGUAUCAAACAGGAUUAGAUACCCUUGUAGUC